Molecule: long non-coding RNA, 236 nt
Filed under: Malus domestica (apple)
Lineage: Eukaryota; Viridiplantae; Streptophyta; Magnoliopsida; Rosales; Rosaceae
Description: long non-coding RNA (MDOM_LNC007834)
Source: RNAcentral
CUCCGCGCUCCAUGAGGAGAUAGGCAGCCUGAUGGAGGAAGGAUAGUCUCGACGACGACAUAUUAGGAACUCGUCGUUGGAGAAGUCGUCGAGGGCGAAGAGGUACCGAAAUACCUCUUCGGCUUGAUGGGGAGGUGUCGGACGAGAGGCCAAUUGAGACCCAAGCGCCUCUGUUGGUGAGAAUUCGGCUAUGGCCGGCCGAAGGGAGGUGAAGUAUACCUGCAACCAGAGUUGGA